This 230-nucleotide long non-coding RNA is filed under the name Carica papaya (papaya). RNAcentral's name for it is "long non-coding RNA (CPAP_LNC003413)". Lineage: Eukaryota; Viridiplantae; Streptophyta; Magnoliopsida; Brassicales; Caricaceae. The record is from RNAcentral.
AUUGCUUUUAUAGAUUCAAUUUCCACACUAAAGACAAUUAAAGAAGUUUUGAAUCAUCCUAUCUUGCAUAAUGUGAUGUUUGAGGAGAUAAAUGCUCUGAUGAAAUUAUAUUUGGGAUUGGUGGAUUUAUCAAAGAAAAAAAAAUUGUGGGAUGCAAAUGGGUCUUUUAGUCAAAGUAACCUAGAUGUCUCAGUAGCAAGACUUAAAGCUAGACUUAUAGCAAAUGGCUA